AUAUGGCAGCCUCCCAAGCUCCUCUGAACUCAAGACAUCUACUCUGUUGAAACCUUUCAGUUGCAGCUUUAGGUAGAGCUAAAGAAGGCUGAUCAUGAGGCUCCUCGGCAUAUUCCUGCUGCUCUCUGUGGCUCUGUGCUGCUUCAUGGAUACUGUUCAAGCUCAAGCAUUCCCCCGACUGGCUAAAUGUGAUCCCAAUUUUCCUGCAUGUCCACAAAACUAUGACCCUGUCUGUGGCAUGGAUGGACAUACCUAUAGCAAUGAAUGUGAUCUAUGUCAGCAAAGCAAGAAUAGUGCUGUUCCCUUCAUCAUCAAAAAACAAGGGAAAUGCUGAGGACCCCAAGUAUCCUGGAGCCCCUAUUAGUGUGGUAGCAUGGCUAGCUUACCUGAGUUUUAAAUAAAUGCAUUAGAUUGAUUACUGCUCUUUAUGUG
This 432-nucleotide long non-coding RNA is filed under the name Monodelphis domestica (gray short-tailed opossum). Its description in RNAcentral is "lncRNA (ENSMODG00000030172.2)". Lineage: Eukaryota; Metazoa; Chordata; Mammalia; Didelphimorphia; Didelphidae. The record is from RNAcentral.